This 903-nucleotide ribosomal RNA is filed under the name Tetraploa cylindrica. Its description in RNAcentral is "Tetraploa sp. CFL-2022a partial large subunit ribosomal RNA". It matches the Rfam family "Eukaryotic large subunit ribosomal RNA", at positions 49 to 961 of the family's 3401-position model. The record is from RNAcentral. Lineage: Eukaryota; Fungi; Ascomycota; Dothideomycetes; Pleosporales; Tetraplosphaeriaceae.
AGCGGAGGAAAAGAAACCAACAGGGAUUGCCCUAGUAACGGCGAGUGAAGCGGCAACAGCUCAAAUUUGAAAUCUGGCCCCCUGCGGGGUCCGAGUUGUAAUUUGCAGAGGGUGCUUUGGCGUUGGCGCCAGCCUAAGUUCCUUGGAACAGGACGUCACAGAGGGUGAGAAUCCCGUACGUGGCCGGCUGCCUUCGCCGUGUAAAGCCCCUUCGACGAGUCGAGUUGUUUGGGAAUGCAGCUCUAAAUGGGAGGUAAAUUCCUUCUAAAGCUAAAUACUGGCCAGAGACCGAUAGCGCACAAGUAGAGUGAUCGAAAGAUGAAAAGCACUUUGGAAAGAGAGUCAAAAAGCACGUGAAAUUGUUGAAAGGGAAGCGCUUGCAGCCAGACUUGCCUGUAGUUGCUCAUCCGGGCCCCGGCCCGGUGCACUCUUCUGCGGGCAGGCCAGCAUCAGUUUGGGCGGCCGGACAAAGGCCCCGGGAACGUAGCUCUCUCCGGGGAGUGUUAUAGCCCGGGGCGGAAUGCGGCCAGCCCGGACUGAGGUCCGCGCAUCUGCUAGGAUGCUGGCGUAAUGGCUGUAAGCGGCCCGUCUUGAAACACGGACCAAGGAGUCUAACAUCUAUGCGAGUGUUUGGGUGUCAAGCCCGGGCGCGCAAUGAAAGUGAACGCAGGUGGGACACCUCCCCCCGGGGGGGCUGCACCAUCGACCGAUCCUGAUGUCUUCGGAUGGAUUUGAGUAAGAGCAUAGCUGUUGGGACCCGAAAGAUGGUGAACUAUGCCUGAAUAGGGUGAAGCCAGAGGAAACUCUGGUGGAGGCUCGCAGCGGUUCUGACGUGCAAAUCGAUCGUCAAAUUUGGGCAUAGGGGCGAAAGACUAAUCGAACUAUCUAGUAGCUGGUUCCUGC